RNAcentral lists this ribosomal RNA (296 nucleotides) under uncultured bacterium. RNAcentral's name for it is "partial 16S ribosomal RNA". It matches the Rfam family "Bacterial small subunit ribosomal RNA", at positions 503 to 793 of the family's 1533-position model. The record is from RNAcentral.
CCGUGCCAGCAGCCGCGGUAAUACGGGAGGGUGCGAGCGUUUAAUCGGAAUUACUGGGCGUAAAAGCGCAUGCAGGUGGUUUUGUUAAGUCAGAUGUGAAAGCCCGGGGCUCAACCUCGGAAUUGCAUUUGAAACUGGCAAACUAGAGUACUGUAGAGGGGGGUAGAAUUUCAGGUGUAGCGGUGAAAAUGCGUAGAGAUCUGAAGGAAUACCGGUGGCGAAGGCGGCCCCCUGGACAGAUACUGACACUCAGAUGCGAAAGCGUGGGGAGCAAACAGGAUUAGAUACCCUGGUAG